This 199-nucleotide long non-coding RNA is filed under the name Nicotiana benthamiana. RNAcentral describes it as "long non-coding RNA (NBEN_LNC040231)". The record is from RNAcentral. Lineage: Eukaryota; Viridiplantae; Streptophyta; Magnoliopsida; Solanales; Solanaceae.
AGCACCUUGAUAAUUUAAUAGAGUAUUUGUAUCUCCACCGGCAAAGAGUAUUUGACAAUUCAACAAAGCAGUAUCACAUAAUACUGCUUCGGCCAAGGUGUGUAAGCCCCUGCCAGCUUGUGAGCACCUCGACAAUUCAAUAGAGUAUUUGUAUCUCCACCAGUAAAGAGUAUUUGACAAUUUGACAAAAUAGUUUUAC